AGAGUUUGAUCCUGGCUCAGGACGAACGCUGGCGGCGUGCUUAACACAUGCAAGUCGAACGGUAAGGCCCUUCGGGGUACACGAGUGGCGAACGGGUGAGUAACACGUGGGUAAUCUGCCCUGCACAUCGGGAUAAGCCUGGGAAACUGGGUCUAAUACCGAAUAGGACCACAGGACACAUGUCCUGUGGUGGAAAGCUUUUGCGGUGUGGGAUGGGCCCGCGGCCUAUCAGCUUGUUGGUGGGGUGAUGGCCUACCAAGGCGACGACGGGUAGCCGGCCUGAGAGGGUGUCCGGCCACACUGGGACUGAGAUACGGCCCAGACUCCUACGGGAGGCAGCAGUGGGGAAUAUUGCACAAUGGGCGAAAGCCUGAUGCAGCGACGCCGCGUGGGGGAUGACGGCCUUCGGGUUGUAAACCUCUUUCACCAUCGACGAAGGUCCGGGUUUUCUCGGGCUGACGGUAGGUGGAGAAGAAGCACCGGCCAACUACGUGCCAGCAGCCGCGGUAAUACGUAGGGUGCGAGCGUUGUCCGGAAUUACUGGGCGUAAAGAGCUCGUAGGUGGUUUGUCGCGUUGUUCGUGAAAUCUCACGGCUUAACUGUGAGCGUGCGGGCGAUACGGGCAGACUUGAGUACUGCAGGGGAGACUGGAAUUCCUGGUGUAGCGGUGGAAUGCGCAGAUAUCAGGAGGAACACCGGUGGCGAAGGCGGGUCUCUGGGCAGUAACUGACGCUGAGGAGCGAAAGCGUGGGGAGCGAACAGGAUUAGAUACCCUGGUAGUCC
Molecule: ribosomal RNA, 783 nt
Filed under: uncultured bacterium
Lineage: Bacteria
Description: bacterial SSU rRNA
Rfam family: Bacterial small subunit ribosomal RNA
Source: RNAcentral